AAAGAAUUAGUUAAAACAUAACAUUAGAAUGUCAAACUAAUAUUACUGAUAUAAUCAGUAUUCUUUA
This 67-nucleotide transfer RNA is filed under the name Ceriagrion fallax. RNAcentral describes it as "tRNA-Asp". Lineage: Eukaryota; Metazoa; Arthropoda; Insecta; Odonata; Coenagrionidae. The record is from RNAcentral.